AUCGCUUCUCGGCCUUUUGGCUAAGAUCAAGUGUAGUAUAUUUUAUUAAAUAUUCAAAACAAAACAAGAAGACAAUGGAAGGGGGGAAUGGGGCAAACAAAAGUACAUUUAACACAACAUUUGUAAUUAUUUCUGCUUAUACAGUUACAUUGUUUCCAUUAUCAUCAAUGAAAUCAUACCACAU
Molecule: small nuclear RNA, 184 nt
Organism: Heteronotia binoei (common prickly gecko)
Lineage: Eukaryota; Metazoa; Chordata; Lepidosauria; Squamata; Gekkonidae
Product: U2 spliceosomal RNA
Exons: 1
Source: RefSeq, a predicted model, not a curated record